UGAGUACAAUUCUCUUCAAAUUGCAUAAAUAUUUCACCUUUUACUAAAGAUUUCCAUGGAGAGGAAUAAUGGAGACAACUUGUCAACUGUGUGACUUUGGGCAAGUCACUUAACUUC
Molecule: small nuclear RNA, 117 nt
Organism: Tachyglossus aculeatus (Australian echidna)
Lineage: Eukaryota; Metazoa; Chordata; Mammalia; Monotremata; Tachyglossidae
Product: U5 spliceosomal RNA
Exons: 1
Source: RefSeq, a predicted model, not a curated record